UACUAUUUUGAGUACAUUGUGCCAAAGGC
Molecule: non-coding RNA, 29 nt
Filed under: Rattus norvegicus (Norway rat)
Lineage: Eukaryota; Metazoa; Chordata; Mammalia; Rodentia; Muridae
Source: RNAcentral